GGAUAUAUUCAUGGGCGUACCGGAAGGAAAAAAUUAGGGGGGCGGAAAGAAAAUUGCCCGACUUUUCGUAAAAUUGCCCGACUUUUCGUGAUUUUGCCCGACUAGUACCAAAAAAUUUUUCCCGGAAAAUUUUUUUUGGCGACCCCCCCCCCGUCGCCAAAAAAAUUUCGGUCAGUGUACCAUUUUAGGGGUCAAAAAAAUUUUCCGGACGUACCAAAUUUUUCGCAGAAUCACAUUAAUUUUCCCAAAAAAUACAUUUGCCCCAAAAUUGACUAAAUUUUUGAAAAAAAUUACAGAAUUUGUCCGAUUUUUUUUUAUAACAUCCCAAAAUUGCCCGACUAUUAAUCGAAUAUUGCCCGACUGCCCAAAAAACUGGGGGGGCGGCCGCCCCCCCCGCCCCCCCGCCCGGUACGCCUAUGGAUAUAUUGGCAGACUGAAACGUUUUCUUUUUAGGACUCGCAACCUGUUUGGCUUUCUC
This is a non-coding RNA of Paramuricea clavata, 478 nucleotides long. NCBI's taxonomy places the organism in Eukaryota, Metazoa, Cnidaria, Anthozoa, Malacalcyonacea, Plexauridae. The record is from the annotation of a GenBank genome assembly.